AUGCUGGAUGCUUCCUGCCCACCCACCAACUCCCAGACUUCAGACCUCUGGCUGUUCAUCUGUCACUGUACUCAGAGUUCCAAGGUCCCCACCCCCAGAGGCCUCAGAGCUUUCGGGGUGGCCCUUUGUUCCCUAGCAAGACCCAGCAUAUGCCCCGUGCUGAUAGAUGCUACAGAGUCUGCUCCCUGCAAAGCCACGGGUACCCCUCCCAGUGGAAGCCCCGAUCCUUUCUCCAGAACCCUGCUGGAGAUAUGCCAAGCCUGAUAAGAGAGAAAAGAAAUUAUACACCACGGGAGUGGCAAGAAAUAGCCAGUCUGUACUGGCAGGAGCAGGGGAAAUAUCCCUGGGAUUGGAAUUUGAGGGUGCUGGAUCAAGAGGGACAGGAAUAGAAGACUGGAUAAGCAGGUUUUACUGAGUGGGGGCACUUUCUCCAUAGCACAGGAUUUAACAUACUGGCAGGGACUCCAGGAGAUGGGGGAAAUUUGCCACCCAGAGUGGCCCUUCAAAGCUUUAAGAAAGUGAUGCCCCCCCACACACAUGGAGGGAAGUGCAAGUGCCCACCGUGGACCAGCCGGUGGUAGAGGAAGGAAGAAAAAGGUUGAUCGAGGCAGGCAUGCUGGAGCGGACAGAAAACGUGAGGCCGGUCACAUCGCCAGGUGGUUAUGCCCUGGGGGAGGGCCGAGAGGACACACUAUUCACCAAAACCACCAGCAUCACCAAGAAGUCCAGUGGUUGCUCUCCUCUGCAAGCCAAUGCAGAUGACAGGUGGAAAGGGACCGUGGCCUACGCUCAUUACUACCCACGGGAAUGAUGGAAUUCUGAUGUAAUGGAGGGCAGGGGAUGGCUCUUGAUCAAGAGACCCGGGGAGACCCCGUUUCCAGUCACGACUGGCAAGGUCAGAGGGGCAGUCAAGAGUGACUGACUGAAAAAAAAAAAAAAAAGAGUGAUUGACUGGCACGGAGCUGAGAGGAUGGUCCAGACAGCCUGGCUCCCUUGCGGCAACUACAGCCAGAAAAAGGCAAGAGAAAGAGGGUGGUCGUCCCAGUAAAAAAAAAAGUCACGGUUUCUGGCUCAGUUCCUGGUCCUGAGCCAAUUUUGAGACCGGCCCCGCUGACUGAAGGGUUGGAGGCAUCCUGAGGAGGAAGGAUGUGGAAACAAGCCGGUGAGUAUAUAUACUGUUUAUGAUGCCACUGUCCUUCUCUGUGGAGGACUGCCAUUGCUCAGGAGACGGUGCCCUGGGGAAAGAGGAAUACCCAGACAUGUCUAGGACUAUUUGACACAGGGUCUGAGAUGACACUGAUUCUGGAGACCCAAAGUGUCACCACGGGGGCCUGGUCGGACUGGGGAUCAGGAGACUCUGCUAAUAAAAGGAGUUGGGGCUAGAGAUCCAGUCAUGGAAAGCCGACUGGAUCCCUGGACCGACGCGGUGGUCAUUUCUCCAGUCCACAAGUUGACAACUGAUUUGCUUGGCAGUUGGAGCACCCCCCACCCACCCACGUACACUCACUGGGCCAUUUGUCUGUGGGGUAAGAAGUUAUGGUGCUGGGGGAGGCUGAGCGGAUCCACUGACACUGGUCCCCACCACAGGCCAAACUGGUAAGUGGAAACCAAUAUCAGAUCUUGGCGAGGCUGAAGGAAGGGAGUCAGCAGAGAGGAUGGACACCACUGGAGACCUAUAGGAUGCAGCAAAAGAGGAGGUAGGAGAACCCCAGUGAUGAAGAGAGUGGCAAAGGUGUGAAGGGCUCUAGGAUUCUGUCUAGGGGGAGAGGGAUGGAGGAGGCUUCCACUGGAUCCAUCGGUAACGUUUCCGAGGAGGCUGAUGGGUAGAGGAGAUUCUGCUAUAUCCUUCGUGAUCCAUUUUGCCAUGUCUGAAAUAGCACACCAUGACUUUAGGAGUCACUGGGAGAAGUGGCAAGAGGGCGUUUUCCACAGCCAAGCAGGGACAGUGGGGAUAGUGGCACACUUGAGGAGGAGGCUCAUUGCAGAUUUAGAAUGUGCCCAAUCUCCCCCCACCCUGUAACCUUCUCCAGCAUGGUAGGCUUCUCAGGUGCAGACCCAGUGCAAGCAAGAGGUGUUCAGGCACCCCAGGCCUCUCUUGGGGAUCAGCCAGAGUAGGAUGCAGGAAGAAGAGGCAAGGGGCAGACAGAGGAGUAUGAGAGGAAGGGAAAGUACGCAACGAACGGAGGGCCCUUGGAGUAGGGGUUGGGUGGCAAACAAGGGAAGUUAUAUAUAACAGGCCAGGACCUCACACAAGCCAAGGGAGGGCCCAAUCCCAGAUAUCAGGACUGCUCAGCUCAGAGAAGCUGGGAACCGGCAGCCUCAGGAAAAUUUGAGAGACAAGCGGGGCCCGACCCCCACCCCCACCGUUAGGCCUAGUUAGUUGGGCGUUGCUCCAGACCUUGCCUUCCGGUGCCCACUUUCCCAUCAGGAUCUAAGUGCCGCUGUGGAACAAAGGGCGGCGAAUCCUCUGUGCACUAGGUGCUUCACCUCCCUCCUGACGUUUCGUUUCCACAACCCUGGAGACAGGUACUGGCACACCCUGUUCUGUGGAAGG
Molecule: long non-coding RNA, 2554 nt
Filed under: Canis lupus familiaris (dog)
Lineage: Eukaryota; Metazoa; Chordata; Mammalia; Carnivora; Canidae
Description: lncRNA (ENSCAFG00000052976.1)
Source: RNAcentral